Molecule: ribosomal RNA, 253 nt
Filed under: uncultured bacterium
Lineage: Bacteria
Description: partial 16S ribosomal RNA
Rfam family: Bacterial small subunit ribosomal RNA
Source: RNAcentral
UACGUAGGGGGCAAGCGUUGUCCGGAAUCAUUGGGCGUAAAGAGCGUGUAGGCGGCCCGAUAAGUCCGCUGUGAAAGUCCAGGGCUCAACCCUGGAAUGCCGGUGGAUACUGUCGGGCUCGAAUCCGGAAGAGGUGAGUGGAAUUCCUGGUGUAGCGGUGAAAUGCGUAGAUAUCGGGAGGAACACCUGUGGCGAAGGCGGCCACCUGGUUGGAUACUGACGCUGAGACGCGAAAGCGUGGGGAGCAAACAGG